Helicobacteraceae bacterium CG1_02_36_14 is the source of this 72-nucleotide non-coding RNA. The record is from Rfam. Lineage: Bacteria; Pseudomonadati; Campylobacterota; Epsilonproteobacteria; Campylobacterales; Helicobacteraceae.
UCCGAAUUAGCUCAGCGGUAGAGUAGGUGACUGUUAAUCACUUGGUCACUGGUUCGAAUCCAGUAUUCGGAG